RNAcentral lists this ribosomal RNA (468 nucleotides) under uncultured bacterium. RNAcentral describes it as "partial 16S ribosomal RNA". It matches the Rfam family "Bacterial small subunit ribosomal RNA", at positions 28 to 507 of the family's 1533-position model. The record is from RNAcentral.
GACGAACGCUGGCGGCGUGCUUAACACAUGCAAGUCGAACGGAAAGGCCCUGCUUUUGUGGGGUGCUCGAGUGGCGAACGGGUGAGUAACACGUGAGUAACCUGCCCUUGACUGUGGGAUAACUUCAGGAAACUGGGGCUAAUACCGGAUAGGAGCUCCUGCUGCAUGGGGGGGGUUGGAAAGUUUCGGCGGUUGGGGAUGGACUGGCGGCUUAUCAGCUUGUUGGUGGGGUAGUGGCUUACCAAGGCUUUGACGGGUAGCCGGCCUGAGAGGGUGGACGGCGACAUGGGGACUGAGAGACGGAGCAGUCGCGUACGGGAGGCAACGGGGGAGAGUAUGACACAGUAGGGGGACGCGUGAGACAAAGGCGCCGCGUGCGGGAUGACGGCCUUCGGGUUGAAAACCGCUUUCGCCUGUGACGGACCGUGAGUGACGGUAAUGGAUAAAGAAGCACCGGCUAACUACGUG